GAGCAAGACUCUGUCUCAAAAAAACAACAACAAGGCCAAAUGUCACCCCAUGAUCUUAACAAGGGAACAGUCAGAAUCCAAAUCCUAAGCACACAAAGCUACUUUCUUAAGGGCAAUGGGAGAGGGAAAUUGUGAUGGCCCCAAGCUAGAACCUAAAUUACACCUUUACUUUAGAACUGAGUAUAGAAGGAUACAUAUCCUAGGGCACAGAUGGGACACCUCUGUCGAUGCUAGAAGAAUUCUAUGUGUGUUUGGAGGUGGCAUAGCAUACCUGUUAGAAAGGCUUUGCUAUUUACUACUGUGGGACCACAAGCAAGUUAUCUCUUUUCUGAACCUCAGUUUCCUCAACUAUAAAAAAGAGAUACGGAUGCUUAGCUAAUAUUGCUGGAAUUGAAUGCAGAAAUGAAAGAAAGCUUUUAGCACAGGGCUUUACCCUAACAGGCACUUACUGUUAAGAGUGGUUUAUUACCAGGUAGGUAACUAAGCAAGGAAGAUGUGUGUUAAUCAAUUUGGCAUGAGAUUUAAAAUUUUAUUACCCAACACAUUAUUUUCACUAAAGUAUCCUUGGUUAAAACUCAGUUAAUACUAGCAUUUAAUAAGAUAACUCAAAUUUCUCCAAAAAAAUGGACAAAUUGGAUGUCUUCAAUUCACUUGACUUACAAAAUGGUUUUAAUAUGAGAAUUGUCUAGUCAUAAGUUGUCACUCAAGAACAAAAAUUAUCUGUUCUGGCACUAACUGGCAUGUGAUUCUGGUGAGGCACAUCAUGACUCUGGGUCUCCUCUACAAGGAGGGGGUUGUGGGAGUGCCCUGGUUCCUUCCAUCUUGAACAUUCGUGAUUCCAAAGUAGCACUCCAGCAUAGCCCUGAUUUACUUCUAGUUCCUUUCCUUUUCAGGACAUUGACAUAAAGUAGAACUUGCUUCCAAUACGUCUUAAAGGUUAAAUGUUACACACAGCGUACAGUCAAUGCAAGGAGGCCUGCACACAGGGAACUUCUGUCUAGGACUGCGGCCGGUAAGACCUUCCUGUGUGGACCACAGCACUGCUCAGGAAAGCUGCCUGCAGGAGCUGUGAAGUUGCAGAAUUUUGGUUUAUUGGGAUGCAUCCUGGUGCUUGCCUACAGAUCUUGUUUUGCAAAGUGCAGAGGCAAUACAUGGAGAUGCAGCAGCCAUCUUGUGACCAUGAGGACAAAGAUCAUUUACCAAGGAUGACAGAAGAGAAAGUUAGCAAGAGCCUUGACCCCUGAUGAGGUGAAGUCAUUUCACCAGCCUAUCACAGCUUCUAGUCUUCUUGGGAAUGUGUCAUCUUGGCUUUCUUUAUGAAUGGCAAUUACUGGCUGGGUGCGGUGGCUGAGAUGGGUGGAUCACUUGAGGUCAGGAGUUCGAGACCAGCCUGGC
RNAcentral lists this long non-coding RNA (1395 nucleotides) under Homo sapiens (human). RNAcentral's name for it is "HSALNT0334684". The record is from RNAcentral. Lineage: Eukaryota; Metazoa; Chordata; Mammalia; Primates; Hominidae.